RNAcentral lists this ribosomal RNA (364 nucleotides) under uncultured bacterium. RNAcentral describes it as "bacterial SSU rRNA". It matches the Rfam family "Bacterial small subunit ribosomal RNA", at positions 28 to 393 of the family's 1533-position model. The record is from RNAcentral.
GACGAACGCUGGCGGCGCGCUUAACACAUGCAAGUCGAACGGGGCCCUUCGGGGUUCAGUGGCGAACGGGUGCGUAACACGUGAGCAACCUGCCCAUGCAUGGGGGAUAACCAAGGGAAACCUUGGCUAAUACCGCAUACGUUCCCCGGGUCGAUUGACCUGGGGAGGAAAGCUGCUGAAAGGCNGCGUGCGUGGAGGGGCUCGCGGCGUAUCAGGUAGCUGGUGAGGUAACGGCUCACCAGGCCGACGACGCGUAGCCGAUCUGAGAGGAUGAUCGGCCACAUUGGGACUGAGAUACGGCCCAGACUCCUACGGGAGGCAGCAGUGGGGAAUCUUGCGCAAUGGGCGAAAGCCUGACGCAGCG